UACGUAGGGACCAAGCGUUGUUCGGAUUUACUGGGCGUAAAGGGCGCGUAGGCGGCGCGGUAAGUCACUUGUGAAAUCUCUGAGCUUAACUCAGAACGGCCAAGUGAUACUGCAGUGCUAGAGUGUGGAAGGGGCAAUCGGAAUUCUUGGUGUAGCGGUGAAAUGCGUAGAUAUCAAGAGGAACACCUGCGGCGAAGGCGGGUUGCUGGGCCGACACUGACGCUGAGGCGCGAAAGCGUGGGGAGCAAACAGG
RNAcentral lists this ribosomal RNA (253 nucleotides) under uncultured bacterium. RNAcentral's name for it is "partial 16S ribosomal RNA". It matches the Rfam family "Bacterial small subunit ribosomal RNA", at positions 524 to 776 of the family's 1533-position model. The record is from RNAcentral.